Molecule: ribosomal RNA, 406 nt
Filed under: uncultured bacterium
Lineage: Bacteria
Description: partial 16S ribosomal RNA
Rfam family: Bacterial small subunit ribosomal RNA
Source: RNAcentral
AUUGAACGCUGGCGGCAGGCCUAACACAUGCAAGUCGAACGAGUGGCGGACGGGUGAGUAAUGUCUGGGAAACUGCCCGAUGGAGGGGGAUAACUACUGGAAACGGUAGCUAAUACCGCAUACCCUCGGAUGUGCCCAGAUGGGAUUAGCUAGUGGGGGGGGGAACGGCUCACCUAGGCGACGAUCCCUAGCUGGUCUGAGAGGAUGGCCAGCAACACUGUAACUGAGAAAGGGUCCAGCACACUACGGGAGGCAGCAGGGGGGAAUAUUGCAGAAUGGGAGCAAGCCUGAUGCAGCCACGCCGCGUGUAUGAAGAAGGCCUUCGGGUGGUAAAGUAAUUUCAGCGAGGAGGCGUUACUCGCAGAAGAAGCACCGGCUAACUCCGUGCCAGCAGCCGCGGUAAUAC